GGCCUAUCAGCUUGUUGGUGGGGUAAUGGCCUACCAAGGCGUCGACGGGUAGCCGGCCUGAGAGGGUGGACGGCCACAUUGGGACUGAGACACGGCCCAGACUCCUACGGGAGGCAGCAGUGGGGAAUAUUGCACAAUGGGCGCAAGCCUGAUGCAGCGACGCCGCGUGGGGGAUGAAGGCCUUCGGGUUGUAAACUCCUUUCAGCCAUGACGAAGCUGGCCUUGUUGGGUCAGUGACGGUAGUGGUAGAAGAAGCGCCGGCUAACUACGUGCCAGCAGCCGCGGUAAUACGUAGGGCGCGAGCGUUGUCCGGAAUUAUUGGGCGUGAAGGGCUUGUAGGCGGCCGGUCGCGUCCGCCGUGAAAUUCUCCGGCUCAACCGGGGGCUUGCGGUGGGUACGGGCCGGCUGGAGUGCGGUAGGGGAGGCUGGAACUCCUGGUGUAGCGGUGGAAUGCGCAGAUAUCAGGAGGAACACCGAUGGCGAAGGCAGAUCUCUGGGCCGUAACUGACGCUGAGGAGCGAAAGCGUGGGGAGCGAACAGGAUUAGAUACCCUGGUAGUCCACGCCGUAAACGUUGGGCGCUAGAUGUAGGGACCUUUCCACGGUUUCUGUGUCGUAGCUAACGCAUUAAGCGCCCCGCCUGGGGAGUACGG
RNAcentral lists this ribosomal RNA (652 nucleotides) under uncultured Curtobacterium sp. Its description in RNAcentral is "bacterial SSU rRNA". It matches the Rfam family "Bacterial small subunit ribosomal RNA", at positions 235 to 885 of the family's 1533-position model. Lineage: Bacteria; Bacillati; Actinomycetota; Actinomycetes; Micrococcales; Microbacteriaceae. The record is from RNAcentral.